GAGUGGCGAACGGGUGAGUAAUGCAUCGGAACGUGUCCUGUAGUGGGGGAUAGCCCGGCGAAAGCCGGAUUAAUACCGCAUACGACCUGAGGGUGAAAGCGGGGGAUCUUCGGACCUCGCGCUAUAGGAGCGGCCGAUGUCAGAUUAGGUAGUUGGUGGGGUAAAGGCCUACCAAGCCGACGAUCUGUAGCUGGUCUGAGAGGACGACCAGCCACACUGGGACUGAGACACGGCCCAGACUCCUACGGGAGGCAGCAGUGGGGAAUUUUGGACAAUGGGCGCAAGCCUGAUCCAGCCAUGCCGCGUGCAGGAAGAAGGCCUUCGGGUUGUAAACUGCUUUUGUCAGGGAAGAAAUCCUCUGGGUUAAUACCUCGGAGGGAUGACGGUACCUGAAGAAUAAGCACCGGCUAACUACGUGCCAGCAGCCGCGGUAAUACGUAGGGUGCGAGCGUUAAUCGGAAUUACUGGGCGUAAAGCGUGCGCAGGCGGCUUUGCAAGACAGAUGUGAAAUCCCCGGGCUCAACCUGGGAACUGCAUUUGUGACUGCAAGGCUAGAGUGCGGCAGAGGGAGAUGGAAUUCCGCGUGUAGCAGUGAAAUGCGUAGAUAUGCGGAGGAACACCGAUGGCGAAGGCAAUCUCCUGGGCCUGCACUGACGCUCAUGCACGAAAGCGUGGGGAGCAAACAGGAUUAGAUAACCUGGUAGUCCACGCCCUAAACGAUGUCAACUGGUUGUUGGACGGCUUGCUGUUCAG
RNAcentral lists this ribosomal RNA (753 nucleotides) under uncultured Comamonadaceae bacterium. Its description in RNAcentral is "bacterial SSU rRNA". It matches the Rfam family "Bacterial small subunit ribosomal RNA", at positions 93 to 843 of the family's 1533-position model. The record is from RNAcentral. Lineage: Bacteria; Pseudomonadati; Pseudomonadota; Betaproteobacteria; Burkholderiales; Comamonadaceae.